UGGGGAAUAUUGGACAAUGGGCGAAAGCCUGAUCCAGCAAUGCCACGUGAGUGAUGAAGGCCUUCGGGUUGUAAAGCUCUUUCAACAAGGAAGAUAAUGACGGUACUUGUAGAAGAAGCACCGGCUAACUCCGUGCCAGCAGCCGCGGUAAUACGGAGGGUGCUAGCGUUGUUCGGAAUUACUGGGCGUAAAGAGCGCGUAGGCGGUUUGUUAAGUUGGAAGUGAAAUCCCGGAGCUCAACUCCGGAACUGCUUUCAAAACUGGCUUACUAGAGUUAGGUAGGGGAUAGUGGAAUUCCCAAUGUAGAGGUGAAAUUCGUAGAUAUUGGGAGGAACACCAGAAGCGAAGGCGACUAUCUAGGCCUUAACUGACGCUGAGGCGCGAAAGUGUGGGGAGCAAACAGG
Molecule: ribosomal RNA, 404 nt
Filed under: uncultured bacterium
Lineage: Bacteria
Description: bacterial SSU rRNA
Rfam family: Bacterial small subunit ribosomal RNA
Source: RNAcentral